UACGUAGGGGGCAAGCGUUGUCCGGAUUUAUUGGGCGUAAAGAGCGUGUAGGCGGUUUGGUAGGUCCGCUGUGAAAACUCGAGGCUCAACCUCGGGACGCCGGUGGAAACCAUCAGGCUAGAGUCCGGAAGAGGAGAGUGGAAUUCCUGGUGUAGCGGUGAAAUGCGCAGAUAUCAGGAGGAACACCUAUGGCGAAGGCAGCUCGCUGGGACGGCACUGACGCUGAGACGCGAAAGCGUGGGGAGCAAACAGG
Molecule: ribosomal RNA, 253 nt
Filed under: uncultured bacterium
Lineage: Bacteria
Description: partial 16S ribosomal RNA
Rfam family: Bacterial small subunit ribosomal RNA
Source: RNAcentral